UCCGCCUAACCAUAAUUUUAAAAAUAAGUUUAAUCCUACUUAUUGUAACUAACUAACACAUACAAAUUUCUGCCCUUGAUCUAGCAUCUAAUUAUCGUUCCAUAUAAAGAUUACCUAAAUAACGGUGUACAUAAUUUAAAAAGAGAUAUAGAGCUUUGUCUAUUAAGCGCAAGUUCCUCUAAUUUACGUAAGCCGC
This 196-nucleotide ribosomal RNA is filed under the name Jesogammarus fluvialis. RNAcentral describes it as "partial 12S rRNA". Lineage: Eukaryota; Metazoa; Arthropoda; Malacostraca; Amphipoda; Anisogammaridae. The record is from RNAcentral.